GAUGAACGCUGGCUACAGGCUUAACACAUGCAAGUCGAGGGGAAACGACGGGGAAGCUUGCUUCCCCGGGCGUCGACCGGCGCACGGGUGAGUAACGCGUAUCCAACCUGCCUCUGACUGAGGGAUAACCCGUCGAAAGUCGGCCUAAUACCUCAUGGUAUCGUCUGCGGGCAUCCAACGACGAUUAAAGAUUUCAUCGGUCAGGGAUGGGGAUACGUCUGAUUAGCUUGUUGGCGGGGUAACGGCCCACCAAGGCUACGAUCAGUAGGGGUUCUGAGAGGAAGGUCCCCCACAUUGGAACUGAGACACGGUCCAAACUCCUACGGGAGGCAGCAGUGAGGAAUAUUGGUCAAUGGGCGAGAGCCUGAACCAGCCAAGUAGCGUGCAGGAAGACGGCCCUAUGGGUUGUAAACUGCUUUUAUGCGGGGAUAAAGUGAGGGACGUGUCCCUCAUUGCAGGUACCGCAUGAAUAAGGACCGGCUAAUUCCGUG
RNAcentral lists this ribosomal RNA (491 nucleotides) under uncultured bacterium. RNAcentral's name for it is "partial 16S ribosomal RNA". It matches the Rfam family "Bacterial small subunit ribosomal RNA", at positions 28 to 507 of the family's 1533-position model. The record is from RNAcentral.